This is a long non-coding RNA of Malaclemys terrapin pileata, 4212 nucleotides long. RefSeq lists it as uncharacterized. The transcript is spliced from 4 exons. The record is from RefSeq and is a predicted model, not a curated record. NCBI's taxonomy places the organism in Eukaryota, Metazoa, Chordata, Testudines, Emydidae.
CUUCCUGCCCCUCCCCCUCCCCUGCUUUCCGUGAAUCAGAUCUUCGCAGGAAGUCUGAAAAGAAGCAGGGGCAGGUGGGCAGCAGCAGCAGAUCGGGGAAACUGAAGAUAGGGUGGUGAGUGACUUAACAUGAACAUGAUUUUUCUUACCCAUUCUGAGAAGGGUGGAAGUUGAAGGACUCUCUCCCUAAACUGGUGUCGGAUUACAUGAACAAGAAGUGUAACCGAGAUGCAUUAACCCACGCUUUGCCUUUUGAUAAAAUCAAUGAAGGGUUCGAACUGCUGUGGGCAGGGAAAGUAUUCUCAGCAUUCUGUUUUAAGCCGCUGAGCGAUGAGAAGUGGGGUCUGAGCAGCACAGCACUGCUCCUCCAGAAUCACCUGUCUGACUCCUUCCCCUUACUCAAAACUUUUAUUAGUGUGUUGGUUUUACAGUCUUUGCUUCUAGAGCUGUAUAAAUUGGGUCUAUCUGAACCUGGAAAUACCUGAAUAGAUUUAGGAAUUCUUUUUGUUUCGGACUAAGAAUUCAAACCUCUGCCCAUAGCUUUGAGGUGUGUGAAAGAGCAGAGCAUGUAGGAGGGAAGGUAUCCUAGAGAGGUCUGCUUCCACAUUAUUCAGAAUUCAACUAAAUUAACCAUUCCCAUCAAUUACACUAGCUCUCUCAGCUAAUUUAGUCUAGCCCCUGCCUCAAGACAGGGCCUGUAACCUACCCUGUCAACCUCCUUUCUUCUUUCGGCUUAGAAGGUGUUGUCCACCAGCAAGCUUAGCAACUCCAGGGAUCCUUUCCCUGACUCAGCCUCCUAAGAAGUGAGCUAUCAUGAGGUUGAAAGCAGCUUGGGUCCGGCCCACGGAUGCUGGCUGAGGGCCUGGGGAAUUAGCUCCAGGACUGAGCACUCACUUUCAUGUGAGUGGCCGCAUGAGCGAGGCCUACAUUCUCCAGCCUGCUCUGUAGCAGCAGGGGCAACCAGCCCUCUUUUGUUGCUCUGGUCUGCUUUGCUCAAGACCCCAGAGCCCUCUCUGUGCCAUCCUGGCACAGGGCAGGUCACACAAAAGCGGGGGGGGAGAAUUAGCUCAGGCAGUAAAGAGCUUGCUUUACAUGUGAGAAGUAGGUGGAUUGAUGCCUGUACUCUCCACAGGGUGGGAUGAGGACUUCCUCUACUCCCUGCAAAGCAGCUAGCCUACUUGCUUCCCUCUUUUUUGCCCCCUCUCCCCAGAGCAGUCAGCAAAAACCAAAAAGCCACCCUUCUGAGGCCUGCAGUCACCAAGUGACCACCAUGGGGAAUCAAACCCACAACAUUGGCAUUAUUGGUACCAAACUCAAGCCAGCACACAGGAAGCAUGCUUCCCCCUGGAUGUUUUGGAAAGAAGCAACAGCCUGCUAAGAGAACUUUGUGGCCAAUCUCAUGAUAUGGGUGGGGUGGAGCUAGUCUCCAGUCAGGGGUCUGAGUCACUACAGGAUAAAUGUAGAGGCAGUCUGGUAACAUAGGGUCACUGAGAGCAGGACUUGUGGUCAUGCAGAGGUCAAACAGGAACAGUGUGGAGGCAGAGAAGUCACAAGUUGACAGAGAAAAGGGCUGAUGGUAGUGGGAGAUCAUGCACAGGUCCCUGAGGACCAGGGCAGAGGCAAUAGAGUCACAGAGAGCAGCACUGGUCCUACUGGGGGUCAUGUAGAGGUCAAUUAGAAUCAAUUUGGAAGGAGAGGGAUCAAAGACACAGAGCUGAGGACUGGGUAGUGGGGGCUAAUACACAGAUCAAUGAAAAUCAACUUGGAGGCAGUGGGGUCACCCAAGUUCACAGAACAGGGAUGGUUGUACUUGAGGUCAUGCAGACGUUAAUGAGGAUCAAUUUUGGAGGAAGAUGGGUCACAAGGUCAGAGGACUGGUGGUACUGAUUGAUCAGGCACAGGUCAAUUAGCAUCAGUUUGGAGGUUGGGGGGGUCACAUGGAGUCACAGAGACUAGCCUUGGUGGUACUGAAGGUUCAUGCACAGGUCAAUUAGGAUCAAUAUCAAGGCACAGAGGAAACAGGGUCACAGAGAGAAGGGGUGGUGGUAGUGAGGGGACGUGCACAGGUGAAUUAGGAUCACUUUGGAGGCAGAGGCAUCACACAAGGUCACAGAAAGCAGGACUGCAGGUAGUAGCAAUUCCUGGAUCAGAUUUGGAGGUCAUGGGGUCACACGUGGUCCUAGAGAACAGGGAUGCUAGCAGUAGAUGGUCAUGAAGAGGUCGAUGAGGACCAAUUUGUAGGCAGAGGGGUCACAGAGACCAGGGCCUGUGAUACUGGUGGGGUCCCUUUCAUCAACAGAAGUCGGUCCAAUAAAAUAUUUCUCUCACCACUGUUAUCUUUUGUCCAAGUUCAGGCAUGCUCAGAGCAUUGCUAUCAGAUUGGGCCCCAACAGGUAGAUAAAUAGGGGAAUGACUAGUUUGCAAACCCCACUAGGGCUUAGGCAUGAAUUAGGCACUGAGCUGCCAGGCAAUGUCAGAAUUUAGGCAGCUGGGUGUACCUAGCUGCCAAAAUUUAGGUGCCUCAGAUUAACAGUGGAAACUUAGAUGCCUACAAGGUUAGACAGCAGCUGAACAAGGGUUUUGUGAAAGCCAGUGGCAUCUAAAUAUUGGAUUUAGGAACCUAACUGCCACUUUGGGUGCCUAUAUCCCCCUUUUCAAUCCCACCCUGAGUGGGCAAGGAGGGACAUGGGGUAGUGCAGGAGACAGGAUACUGAUAAGGGGGAGGAGAAUGGAAAGGGAUUGAAUUCCAACUCCUGGGCAUUAGGAAAUAGAUAAGCGACACCAUUUUGUGUACCUAGCAACUAUUUAAGGUUGAAUUUUUGAUCCCAAACUGCUCACUUACAAAUGAGGGGCACAUAACUUUACUCUGAAGUCUCAGAAAUCAUAAGGCAAGUGAGAAACAGUGUGAUUUAUUUCUGUGGUAUCAUGAUUUUUAAGCCAAUCACAUUUUUAGUCUCAUGAUUUUUGGCAGAUUGGGGUUGGCAAUAUUGGGCAGCUGAUGAGUCAUAAAUUAACUAUCUUGACCCUAAUAAAUCAGUUUGGAUGUUGAUGAGAUUUCAGUCUCUCUCCUGAAGGUCAUGGGGAGGGUGCCUUGAUUUGUCUUCAUUGCAUUCUGUGAUGGAAAUCUUUUAUUCACUUAUUUUGUUCAAGGGCCGUUCUCUUCCAAUACUUAAAUUGCUGAAACUCAUCACUACAAGCCUGUAACAGCCAGCAAUAUUGCAGGGGGAAAAACUUCUAAUAAAAACCUCUGUUAGAGGGGAGUAGAAGCAGCUAAAGCAGGGACCUUUGGAAACCUUUCUACAGUUUUGACUGGACUUUCUAUACCCUGUGCUGACUGGCUGUUUGCUUCAUUCCUCCAUCUCCCUCAGAGGCUGUUCACCUCAGUGUCACUCCUCUUACCUCUCUCCCUUCACUGUAGAAUAUUCCCCCACUGCCUAAACCCACCCCACACACCAAAAAAUGGUGGAACCAUCACAUUGUUCACUCUGCUUGUGUGUUGUAUCCCUUCCUCCACCACAGACUGUGAGCUCUUUGGGACAGAGACUGUUUUUGUUAUGUUUGUACAGCACCCAGCACAAUAGGGUCCUGGCCCCUGACGAGGGGUCCUAUGUACCACAGUUAUACAAACAAUACUAAUAGCGUAUCUCUCUGUGGAAGCCUUCUUUGGGUGGAGAAAUAGUUGCCAGUUGGGUCCAAAUAAUGAGUAAGAAAUUAGGAGAAAUGGGAGGCUUUUGUGUGGGGUGGUACUUUUGGAGGAGUUGGGUUCUUUACUUUUGCAAAAUCCUGUUUCAAACAGGGUGUUCAUGUGAAGAGUUUUUAGAGAGUACAAUCUCAGAGGCAGCAUUGUUAUCUAUUGGCUUAUCUUGUAACUGCUACCAGAUAUUCUGCUUCUUCCUAAACUCCUUGGGACUAGUCAGGGUGGUAAGCAUUAUGCACUGUAGUGUUUGUAAAAUCAGUCCCUAUGUGUCUUAAACUUUGUGUACAAAAUAAUUAUUUUCAGGUGAGAGAACAGCUCACAACACAUUCACAAUACCUAGUAUGAAAAUGCAGCAGCUAGCUGGCUAUUAGUUUACUAUAAUUACAGCCCCAACCAAUGAAACUGUUUUUCUUGCUCCAAGUAAAAUGAAGGGGGGUGGGGGGGAGAAAAAGGUUACCAGAGAGAUAAAUAUGCUCUUGAUUACCCAGCCUCUUUUAUCAUAUUGCACUACUAAU